Molecule: transfer RNA, 74 nt
Filed under: Paludibacteraceae bacterium
Lineage: Bacteria; Pseudomonadati; Bacteroidota; Bacteroidia; Bacteroidales; Paludibacteraceae
Description: tRNA-Met
Rfam family: tRNA
About the family: Transfer RNA (tRNA) molecules are approximately 80 nucleotides in length.
Source: RNAcentral
GGGAUUGUAGCUCAAUCGGUUAGAGCGGAGGACUCAUAAUCCUUAGGUUCACAGUUCAAGUCUGUGCGGUCCUA